Engraulis encrasicolus (European anchovy) is the source of this 2208-nucleotide long non-coding RNA. RefSeq lists it as uncharacterized. The transcript has 3 exons. NCBI's taxonomy places the organism in Eukaryota, Metazoa, Chordata, Actinopteri, Clupeiformes, Engraulidae. The record is from RefSeq and is a predicted model, not a curated record.
UGAUUAUUAUUAUCGUUCUUGUGCAGGGGGACAGUAAAAAUAGAAAAUGGAUCUCCUCCUAGGCCUUUCGAGAUAGAGACACCGUUCAAACACUAAAACGACCGGCUCGGCUUGGAGAUCGCGUAUACUAAUAGGCUUUUCCGUGUCUCUUGUCGUUUUCCCGUUUUUGGCGAUUUUGUGAAAGCCUGGGUCCCCAUUGAAAAUAGUGGUGGAACCUCCAUGAACCAAAGUUCCGCCACUCUAGAGAUUAGAGUGUAGGAGGCUUUUUCGGUCAUAAAACAUCAACACUUUCACCUAGAAGUUUAGUUGACGCGUUGUUAGCGAGCUCUAUGGGAUGUCUCCAAAUUGUGAAAGUUUCAUAUCCCAACUCCCAAUACUUUUUAAAUGGCAGGUUUGUAAAAAAAACAGGCCUGGCUCUAUGGAGAAUCCCAUUCUUUCGAAAAGUGCAUUUUUCAAGAGAUCAGCGCAUGUCCCACACGGAGGUCCAUUUGUGCCUGAACCCUUUAACCUAUAAACUUCAUUCAAAGACUGUUAGAGAGAUCACAAGCAUGACUCCGAUCUGUGAAAAGGACACGUGCCAACUCCUUUUAGUUUUUUUACAACGAUGUUGUAAAGACAAAAAACUCAUUCUCAUUCUGGCCUCUGCUUAGAGGACAAUACUAACUGCCAUUACAGUCAAUCAGAACAGGUGCAGCCAAUAAAGUGUUCCAUGAACCACUUUGUCACUCUCGUCUUCCUACUCACAGCCAUGGCAACGGUUUCCAUGACUACGAAUACACAAGUUAACGCGAGAUUUCACUGGCAACCCACGUCAGUUACAGGCCGACGAAACGACAACACAAGCGGGACUUUUCUAAACAACUGGGUGGAUUUCACUGCAGCUUUCACUCAAUUGACGCCUCAGGACCAGGGCGGCUCCAUGCCUCACGAGGACAACCUUGUGUCCUGCCUCUUCAUUCUCAACCUCCCAUCUUCCUGCUCUUCACACAUGUGCAGACACAGAGACAGUUUCCAGGGGGAGCGCUGAUGACACCAGCAACUUUGGAUCUGAACCUGAUCAACCCAGCACCAACCACUGUGCCUCUCCUCCUCAGCCAACUGCACCACAUGACUCCACCAUAUUCAAAAAGGUACACCACUCCACGUCCUGCGAAGGAUGAGAAGAGCCAACUUCCCCACAUCUGCACUCACCACUUUCUACAGGGGUGCUGUCAUGGCAUUUGAAGUUAGUCCCUACUUGCCAUUCAGGACCUGUACACUUCACACUGUUCCAAGAGGGCAGUCAACAUCAUCACAGAAACACCUCACCUCACCUACCACACAGACUGUUCUCCCUUCUACCAUCAGGGAAGCGCUACCACAGCAUGUGGUGCCGCACAAGCACACUGGGAAACAGCUUCUUUCCACAAGCCAUCAGACUUUUCCACGCACUGAAGAAAACCACAUGAAUAUUUCAAGGACGCUAUCCCAACUCUUCUUUCACCAUGACACUUAGAUUUUAGUCAUUGCACCUUGUAUACAGCAUCUGCACUACUUCAAAUCACCUGCAUUGUACUCCUGCUGCCGUGUUUAUAUGCAAGCGUGCAUGUGUGCAUUUGUGUAAUUAUUGUCAAUUGUUAUGUUAAUCUUCUUAUUGCACACCGUGUGUGUGUGUGUGUGUGUGUGUGUGUGUGUGUGUGUGUGUGUGUGUGUGUGUGUGUGUGUGUGUGUGUGUGUGUGUGUGUGUGUGUGUGUGUGUGUGUGUGUGUGUGUGUGAUCAUUGUCAGUGUCUUAUUUCUAUGUUUAGUUUAACUGCACAUUGGAGACUGGUCAAACACAAUUUCAAACUUUUGUGCUAACCCUGUUCCAUAUGUUUUUGAACAAGUACACUUGACUAUUUUCAUCCUUUUAGUGUAUGUAUACCUUCCGCUGUAGGCAAUACUCUUACUCUGCUUCUCUUUAUGGAUAUGUUCCAUGUAUAUUAUGUAUCCCAUCUGCCUAUGUAGUUUUGUGGGUGUGCAUUUGACAGUACGUGUAAUGCAUUGCAAUGUCUGCUAUGUUGUAGACUGGUAGAAACUUUAAUUCCACAGCUAUCAACACAUCAGACAAAUGAGUGCUGCUCUAACUGUGGUAGUUGAGUGCUGUUCUACUGCUAUUCCACGAUGAGUGUGAGGAGAGGGUGAGGUGACUGUUUAGAAUGUAAGCUUGAAAAUAAAUUGUUAUAUUUCA